UGNGAUGCAGGAACUCAUAGCCUUUGCUUA
RNAcentral lists this non-coding RNA (30 nucleotides) under Mus musculus (house mouse). The record is from RNAcentral. Lineage: Eukaryota; Metazoa; Chordata; Mammalia; Rodentia; Muridae.